AGAGGAGUGCCACAGUGCUUAGUAGCGGGACCACAUAGGGUAACCAUGAGUGUCAACCAAAGUCUGCUAAAUAGUUAGAUACAGUUAUACUUGUACCAGAAUGUUAUUUUGUCUGACAGACAAUUUUACACCAUUUAAGUUGCACACAUGGAACUUGCUAUGAUGUCAAUUUCAAAGGACAAGAUUCAUGGUACAGGCGUUUGGCUGAAGAUCUUGGAAGAGACUAUUGCGCACUUUGCGUGAAAGAGUCAGCUCUUGGAAAUGGGUGCGGGAGGGGCACACAUUGUCUAUUCUGAAAUGGUUAAAACAAUUCGCAUGCAGCGGCCAGUCUCAAAUGACGACUUCUGACUGAAGCAUAAAGUUGUGGGAGCUGCACAUAUAGGCCAACUGCACAUGAAACAAGUGAAUCCGACAAGUCAUGAAGUUAUGCAGAUAACACCGCAUCUGAGAAAGAACUUGUUACCCAUCACCCCCGACUCAACCCAAUACAGCUUUGAAAAAGCACAGCCUGUGAGGCAGUUUGGGCACUUCCCUUUGGACAACAGCCCUGAGACCAAUAUAAAUCUGACAAUAACUGACUAAUUAACACAAUAGACAACAAUACAGUUUCUUCCGGAGUUUUACUGACUUUGUGAGUACUAAAUCCAACAAACAUCUCCUCUGCAGUAGCAUAGAGCCAGCAUGCUCCCUUCCCUUCCCAGCUAUGGCUCCCCCUAGCCGUGCUUCCAUAUUUCCUUGUUUAUGCACAGCAUAAUGGCCUGACCCUCCCUUCUCUAUAACAUUAUACAGACACCACCUAGCACCUGAAAACCUAAAUUUUUCUGGAUAUAUUUUGAGAUUAGAGUCUCUAUAUACCCCAUAUUCAUCCAAUGGCACCCUAACCAUAGUGGAACAGAGCUUUUCUUACCUUUACAAAGUGCCUCUCUCUAUACCUCUCUCUCUCCAAAGUCCCAACCUCGAUAGCCUCCUUCUUCUUCCCAGAAAUCCCUGCAAAAGGGGCACUUCCAUGUAAGUUGAAUGUGUAGGGGUGCUCAUUUUGGACUCAACCAUUACUGUAAAAUACAGAAGACCCCAGAUGCUCAGAAAGGGCCUAUUUGGGUACAUAGUCCCACAGGGGCCAACAUGUCCCUUUCAAACGGUAUGACACUGGCCCUAUAGUAAAUACCCCUCCCCUAACUCCCUCUGUCCUCCCCCCCAAUGGCUUUCACAUCAUAUGGCCCAUCCACCAGUCAUACAGCCAAUGCUGAGAAGCAAUUGUAACGUGCUGCACAAAUGAGCUCUCAGAGAGUUUCCACUGGGUUUUUGUGGAUUCACCAAGCCUUGGGGCCUCUUAGAGCUGCCCAAAAUCAUUGCUCGGGGAUAUUUUGGACACACAGAGACCCCUUUUUAUUGAAACAGACCAUUUGAAUACAGAGGAAAAUAUUCUGGUGUGAAUAUGAUGCAAUCAAGCGAAAAGAGAGCACUGUCUCCAAGUGUCCCUCUCCAAAAGUGCAGAGAUGUAUCCACUGGGACAAGGAGCUUUCCACUCACACAAUGAGAAGGGGUGGCGGAUGACAAAUGCCAAUUUUGGUGUCCGCGCUUUGAAAGCCCAACAGGGGCGUCAUGUACUCCAAAAAUCUGAGGGGGCACAAAGUAUGUGAGGAUGGCUUGGCUCCUGUUCAUUAGUUGGAGAAUUUUGCAUUUUUCAAACACAUGAAACAUAUUUGUCUUGCUAUCUACAGCCAUAAUCAUUACGCUUAAUUCUAUGUUAAACACUUUUGUUUUUCUGCAUAUCUAAGCAUACCUUUUGAGCUGUCUGUAUACUCCUGAUUAGUGGUUAUUCUUUGUUAUUCUUAUUGUUUUUUUAAAUUCAGAUUGUGUGUCACUUGUCUACACAGAAUACCCCGUAAUGUCAAAGUGGAAUUGUGUUUUUAGAAAUGUUAACAAAUUAAUAAAAAAUGUAACUUGAGUCAAUAAGUAUGCAAUCUUUUUGUAAUGGCAAGCCUAAAAAUGUGCUUAACAAGUCACAUAAUAAGUUGUCUGGACUCGCUCUGUAUACAAUAAUACUGUUUAACAUGACUACCCAAUCUCUGUACCUCACACAUACAAAUAUCUGUAAGGUCCCUAAGUCGAGCAGUGAAUUUCAAGCACAGAUUCAACUACAAAGACAAGCGGGGAAGAAGGGUAAAAAAUAAAAAUAAAAGCAGACAUUGAGCAUUGUGCAGUUAUUAAUUGUACACAUUAGAUGGUGUAUCAAUACACCCAGUCACUACAAAGAUACAGGCAUCCUUCUUAAAUCAGUUGCCGGAGAGGAAGGACACCACUCUUGGAUUUCACCAUGAGGCCAAUGGUGACUUUAAAACAGUAACAGAGUUUAGUGGCUGUGAUAGGAGAUAACUGAGGAUGGAUCAACAACAUCAACAUAAAAUACAGAGUGAAAAGAAGGAAGUCUGUACAGAAUAACACAUAUUCCAAAACAUGCAUCCUGUUUGCACUAAAGUAAUACUGCAAAAAAUGUGGCAAAUACAUACACUUUUUGUCCUGAAUACAAAGUGUUAUGUUUGGGCAAAUCCAACACAUCACUGAGUACCACUCUUCAUAUUUUCAAGAAUGGUGGUAGCUGCAUCAUGUUAUGGGUUGGAAAGAACUAGGGAGUUUUUUUUGGGAUAAAAAGAAACGGAAUAGAGCUAAGCACAGGCAAAAUCCUUGAGGAAAACCUAGUUCAGUCUGCUUUCCAACAGACACUGGGAGACAAAUUAAAAUUUCUACAGGACAAUAAUCUAAAACACAUGGUCAAAUAUGUACUGGAGUUGCUUACCAAGACGUCAUUGAAUGUUCCUGAGUGGCUUAGUUACAGUUUUGACUUAAAUCAUCAGCUUGACAAUCUAUGGCAAGACUUGAAAAUCGCAGUCUAGCAGUGAUCAAUAACCAACUUGAUAGAGCUUGACACAUUUUUUAAAGAAUAAUGGGCAAGUAUUGUACAAUCCAGGUGUGCAAAUCUCUUAGAGGCUUUCCCAGAAAGACUCACAGCUGUAAUCCCUGCCCAAGGUGAUUCUAACAUGUAUUGACUCAGGGAGUUUAAUACUUAUCUAAUCAAGAUAUAUUAGUGUUUUAUUUUCCAUUAAUACAAAAUAUAUAUACUUUUUCUUCCACUGACAUAACAGGGUAUUUUGUAUAUAUCAUUGACCAAAAAAUGACAAUGAAAUCAAUUUGAAUCCCACAAGUUCAGUGUGAAUACCAUCUGAAGGUACUGUACAUACUGUAUAUAAUGUAAAUAUCUUUAAACAGGACAAAUCUGAGGGGAGCAUGUUCCCCAUUGACCCAUUUGGGCAUGACACCUCUGCUAUUUAUGUUUGUGUUAUUGUUAUAAUAAACAAUGGGAAAAUAAAUACACCAGAGCAAUAUUUCAGGUUAAGGUUCUUCUGUCCAUGAUAUGCCAUACAUGUUGAUGUUUCUAUGUUCAUUUGUACGUUUUCUAUAAGCACUAGGGCUAGGCAAUGGAAGAUGGAGCCUACAUGCAAUAGAUUAUUACAAAUUACAUACACUGGCGAUACUCUAUGCUGCUUUAGUGAUGAUAUUCAAUGCAACAUUGUACAGAGAUUUUUUUUUGUUAAUAAAAUUUAAUAUUUCAAGA
Long non-coding RNA from Oncorhynchus masou masou (cherry salmon), 3613 nucleotides. RefSeq lists it as uncharacterized. Lineage: Eukaryota; Metazoa; Chordata; Actinopteri; Salmoniformes; Salmonidae. The record is from RefSeq and is a predicted model, not a curated record. The transcript has 7 exons.